CCAGUGCGGAGGUUCCACUUACUGUACCCUCAGCAGAACUAAAUCCUCAAGAGCAAUUUGAAAAAAAUUUGGAGAGGCUUUCUGAUAUUUUGGCGUCAUAUCCUUCUGCUGAGCUUUAAAGAAGCACUGCAUCAUCAUGGUCUUUUCGGCAGCAGAAAGCCUCAGAUCGCUGGAAAGAAGCAAGACCAUACCACCUAAAAUGCCUUAUUGCAAAAGAGGCUGUUGGUCAUCCCUUGUGUCGGCUUUGCCACGAGCCUGCUGUUAAUAGGUGCAGAGAGUGUCUUCCUGAGGAGUGGUUCUGUGGAGACUGUGAUGAACUGUGUCACAAAAAACAGCCACUCCACAACAGGGAAUGUGUGAUUCAUGGGUUUUUUGAAGCCAUUCCUC
Sinocyclocheilus rhinocerous is the source of this 387-nucleotide long non-coding RNA. RefSeq lists it as uncharacterized. The transcript is spliced from 3 exons. The record is from RefSeq and is a predicted model, not a curated record. Lineage: Eukaryota; Metazoa; Chordata; Actinopteri; Cypriniformes; Cyprinidae.